RNAcentral lists this ribosomal RNA (429 nucleotides) under Pseudomonadota bacterium. RNAcentral describes it as "Proteobacteria bacterium partial 16S ribosomal RNA". It matches the Rfam family "Bacterial small subunit ribosomal RNA", at positions 355 to 776 of the family's 1533-position model. The record is from RNAcentral. Lineage: Bacteria; Pseudomonadati; Pseudomonadota.
UGGGGAAUAUUGGACAAUGGGCGAAAGCCUGAUCCAGCCAUGCCGCGUGUGUGAAGAAGGUCUUCGGAUUGUAAAGCACUUUAAGUUGGGAGGAAGGGCAGUAAGCGAAUACCUUGCUGUUUUGACGUUACCGACAGAAUAAGCACCGGCUAACUCUGUGCCAGCAGCCGCGGUAAUGCAGAGGGUGCAAGCGUUAAUCGGAAUUACUGGGCGUAAAGCGCGCGUAGGUGGUUCGUUAAGUUGAAUGUGAAAGCCCCGGGCUCAACCUGGGAACUGCAUCCAAAACUGGCGGGCUAGAGUAGGGCAGAGGGUGGUGGAAUUUCCUGUGUAGCGGUGAAAUGCGUAGAUAUAGGAAGGAACACCAGUGGCGAAGGCGACCACCUGGGCUCAUACUGACACUGAGGUGCGAAAGCGUGGGGAGCAAACAGG